RNAcentral lists this ribosomal RNA (591 nucleotides) under Polaromonas sp. StTD624. RNAcentral's name for it is "bacterial SSU rRNA". It matches the Rfam family "Bacterial small subunit ribosomal RNA", at positions 102 to 689 of the family's 1533-position model. The record is from RNAcentral. RNAcentral also lists the same sequence under 7 other names. Lineage: Bacteria; Pseudomonadati; Pseudomonadota; Betaproteobacteria; Burkholderiales; Comamonadaceae.
ACGGGUGAGUAAUGUAUCGGAACGUGCCCAAUCGUGGGGGAUAACGUAGAGAAAUUUACGCUAAUACCGCAUACGAUCUAAGGAUGAAAGCGGGGGAUCGCAAGACCUCGCGCGAUUGGAGCGGCUGAUAUCAGAUUAGGUUGUUGGUGAGGUAAAAGCUCACCAAGCCGACGAUCUGUAGCUGGUUUGAGAGAACGACCAGCCACACUGGGACUGAGACACGGCCCAGACUCCUACGGGAGGCAGCAGUGGGGAAUUUUGGACAAUGGGCGCAAGCCUGAUCCAGCAAUGCCGCGUGCAGGAAGAAGGCCUUCGGGUUGUAAACUGCUUUUGUACGGAACGAAACGGUUCUUUCUAAUAAAGAGAGCUAAUGACGGUACCGUAAGAAUAAGCACCGGCUAACUACGUGCCAGCAGCCGCGGUAAUACGUAGGGUGCGAGCGUUAAUCGGAAUUACUGGGCGUAAAGCGUGCGCAGGCGGUUAUGUAAGACAGUUGUGAAAUCCCCGGGCUCAACCUGGGAAUUGCAUCUGUGACUGCAUAGCUAGAGUACGGUAGAGGGGGAUGGAAUUCCGCGUGUAGCAGUGAAAUGC